GAUGCGUCCUUGUCGAGUCGGGUUGCUUGGGAUUGCAGCUUGAAGUGGGUGGUAAAUUCCAUCUAAAGCUAAAUACUGGCGAGAGACCGAUAGCGAACAAGUACCGUGAGGGAAAGAUGCAAAGAACUUUGAAAAGAGAGUCAAAGAGUGCUUGAAAUCGGUAGGAGGAAACCCGGAUGGGCCCGGCUUCGGCGUCGCGACUCAGCCCCCUGCUCGGGGGGGUGCACUUUGCGUCGCCGGGUCAGCCGCCGCUCCGGCCGCGGUACAACGGGGGAGCAGGGCUCCGGCGAGCUCCCCUCCUGCCGCGCCCGGGGCGCCGUCUGACGGAACGGGCCCCUCCGACCCGUCUAGAAACACGGACCAAGGAGUCUGACACGUGUGCGAGUACCCGGGUGGCAAGCCCGCGUGCGGAAUGAAAGUGAAGGGCAUGCCCUGCCAACCGACCUUGACCUUCUGUGAAGGGUUUGAGUGGAGCACACCUGUCGGGACCCGAAAGAUGGUGAACUAUGC
Molecule: ribosomal RNA, 510 nt
Filed under: Isochrysis galbana
Lineage: Eukaryota; Haptophyta; Isochrysidales; Isochrysidaceae
Description: eukaryotic LSU rRNA
Rfam family: Eukaryotic large subunit ribosomal RNA
Source: RNAcentral